Camellia sinensis is the source of this 537-nucleotide non-coding RNA. The record is from RefSeq and is a predicted model, not a curated record. Lineage: Eukaryota; Viridiplantae; Streptophyta; Magnoliopsida; Ericales; Theaceae.
GUACCUCACUGUCGAUCCUCCUCCCUUACCGCCGCUGCUGCCUCCCCCUCUCUCUCUCUCACAAACGACGUUGACGGUUGCUCGCCCCUCACCGCCACUCCUCCCUCACCGGCGAUCUUCCCUCACCGCCGAUUUCAAAGGAUCUGCCUAGUACUGCUACUCAUACCAGCCUCUCUGCUGACUUGUGUUUUUAUGUUCUUUAAAUUUCAGUUACUUUCUUUCCUUUUUUUUGUGUUUAAUGUUUGUUAUCAUUGCAUAGCUAAUCUAGUAGUUUAAUCACUGCUAGUUGAUAUUAUUGUUAACAAAUUUUCCUAAUAGAAAAGUCCAUGAAAUCAAGAACUUCACAAACCUUCAGUAAUUUUUUUAGCGUUAGAGUAGUUAGGAAAGACUGUAAAAUUGGCUUAGUUGAGGCCCAAAAUUCAAAUUUGAGAGUUUGCUUUCAAAGAACAUUUGAAGAGGAAUAGUUUAUAUGUUUUCUGCUGUAAAUUUAGCAUUUUACAAAUUAAUUCAAAUUAAUUCAGGUGUUUCAACUUCAUC